RNAcentral lists this ribosomal RNA (461 nucleotides) under uncultured bacterium. RNAcentral's name for it is "partial 16S ribosomal RNA". It matches the Rfam family "Bacterial small subunit ribosomal RNA", at positions 338 to 795 of the family's 1533-position model. The record is from RNAcentral.
CCUACGGGAGGCAGCAGUGAGGAAUAUUGGUCAAUGGACGCGAGUCUGAACCAGCCAAGUAGCGUGAAGGAUGACUGCCCUAUGGGUUGUAAACUUCUUUUAUAUGGGAAUAAAAUGUUCCACGUGUGGGAUUUUGUAUGUACCAUCUGAAUAAGGAUCGGCUAACUCCGUGCCAGCAGCCGCGGUAAUACGGAGGAUCCGAGCGUUAUCCGGGUUUAUUGGGUUUAAAGGGAGCGUAGGUGGAUUGUUAAGUCAGUUGUGAAAGUUUGCGGCUCAACCGUAAAAUUGCAGUUGAAACUGGCAGUCUGGAGUACAGUAGAGGUGGGCGGAAUUCGUUGGGUAGCGGGGAAAUGCUUAGAUAUCACGAAGAACUCCGAUUGCGAAGGCAGCUCACUGGACUGCAACUGACACUGAGGCUCGAAAGUGUGGGUAUCAGACAGGAUUAGAUACCCCGUGUAGUC